GUCUAUGGCCAUGCCACCCUGAACAAGCCUGAUGUCUGAUCUCGGAAGCUAAGCAGGGUCGGGCCUGGUUAGUACUUGGAUGGGAGACCACCUAGGAAGACCAGUUGCUGUAGGCA
RNAcentral lists this ribosomal RNA (116 nucleotides) under Pteropus alecto (black flying fox). The record is from RNAcentral. RNAcentral also lists the same sequence under 1 other name. Lineage: Eukaryota; Metazoa; Chordata; Mammalia; Chiroptera; Pteropodidae.